UCGGCAACGGAUAUCUCGGCUCUCGCAUCGAUGAAGAACGUAGCGAAAUGCGAUACUUGGUGUGAAUUGCAGAAUCCCGUGAACCAUCGAGUCUUUGAACGCAAGUUGCGCCUUAAGCCACCAGAGCUGAGGGCACGCCUGCCUGGGCGCCACGC
Molecule: ribosomal RNA, 155 nt
Filed under: Proboscidea parviflora subsp. sinaloensis
Lineage: Eukaryota; Viridiplantae; Streptophyta; Magnoliopsida; Lamiales; Martyniaceae
Description: 5.8S ribosomal RNA
Rfam family: 5.8S ribosomal RNA
About the family: 5.8S ribosomal RNA (5.8S rRNA) is a component of the large subunit of the eukaryotic ribosome. It is transcribed by RNA polymerase I as part of the 45S precursor that also contains 18S and 28S rRNA. Functionally, it is thought that 5.8S rRNA may be involved in ribosome translocation.
Source: RNAcentral